UACGUAGGGUGCGAGCGUUAAUCGGAAUUACUGGGCGUAAAGCGUGCGCAGGCGGUUCGUUGUGUCGGUGGUGAAAUCCCCGGGCUUAACCUGGGAAUGGCCAUGGAAACUGGCGAACUGGAGUGCGGCAGAGGGGGGUGGAAUUCCGCGUGUAGCAGUGAAAUGCGUAGAGAUGUGGAGGAACACCGAUGGCGAAGGCAGCCCCCUGGGUCAAAACUGACGCUCAUGCACGAAAGCGUGGGGAGCAAACAGG
RNAcentral lists this ribosomal RNA (253 nucleotides) under uncultured bacterium. RNAcentral's name for it is "partial 16S ribosomal RNA". It matches the Rfam family "Bacterial small subunit ribosomal RNA", at positions 524 to 776 of the family's 1533-position model. The record is from RNAcentral.